This 497-nucleotide ribosomal RNA is filed under the name uncultured bacterium. Its description in RNAcentral is "partial 16S ribosomal RNA". It matches the Rfam family "Bacterial small subunit ribosomal RNA", at positions 28 to 507 of the family's 1533-position model. The record is from RNAcentral.
GACGAACGCUGGCGGCGUGCCUAAUACAUGCAAGUUGAGCGCUGAAGGUUGGUACUUGUACCAACUGGAUGAGCAGCGAACGGGUGAGUAACGCGUGGGGAAUCUGCCUUUGAGCGGGGGACAACAUUUGGAAACGAAUGCUAAUACCGCAUAAAAACUUUAAACACAAGUUUUAAGUUUGAAAGAUGCAAUUGCAUCACUCAAAGAUGAUCCCGCGUUGUAUUAGCUAGUUGGUGAGGUAAAGGCUCACCAAGGCGAUGAUACAUAGCCGACCUGAGAGGGUGAUCGGCCAAAAUGGGACUGAGACACGGCCCAAGACCCUAAGGGAGGCAGCAGUAGGGAAUCUUCGGCAAUGGACGAAAGUCUGACCGAGCAACGCCGCGUGAGUGAAGAAGGUUUUCGGAUCGGAAAACUCUGUUGGUAGGGAAGAACGUUGGUGAGAGUGGAAAGCUCAUCAAGUGACGGUAACUACUCAGAAAGGGACGGCUAACUACGUG